AUUGAACGCUGGCGGCAUGCUUUACACAUGCAAGUCGAACGGUAACAGGUCUUCGGAUGCUGACGAGUGGCGAACGGGUGAGUAAUGCAUCGGAACGUGCCCAGUCGUGGGGGAUAACGCAGCGAAAGCUGUGCUAAUACCGCAUACGAUCUAUGGAUGAAAGCGGGGGAUCGAAAGACCUCGCGCGAUUGGAGCGGCCGAUGUCAGAUUAGCUAGUUGGUGGGGUAAAGGCCCACCAAGGCGACGAUCUGUAGCUGGUCUGAGAGGACGACCAGCCACACUGGGACUGAGACACGGCCCAGACUCCUACGGGAGGCAGCAGUGGGGAAUUUUGGACAAUGGGCGCAAGCCUGAUCCAGCAAUGCCGCGUGCAGGAAGAAGGCCUUCGGGUUGUAAACUGC
Molecule: ribosomal RNA, 401 nt
Filed under: uncultured bacterium
Lineage: Bacteria
Description: bacterial SSU rRNA
Rfam family: Bacterial small subunit ribosomal RNA
Source: RNAcentral